Long non-coding RNA from Cicer arietinum (chickpea), 1092 nucleotides. RefSeq lists it as uncharacterized. Lineage: Eukaryota; Viridiplantae; Streptophyta; Magnoliopsida; Fabales; Fabaceae. The record is from RefSeq and is a predicted model, not a curated record.
CAGCUAAGCUAAAAAGAAAACUAACUAAGUAACAUUCUUUUUAUUCCUUCUCACAUAUACAUUCCCAAACCUAUUUUUAUUCGUAUCAGUCACCUUUCGCACACUACAACUUUCGGACUGCAGCUACAACCCUAUUGUUUUAAUUUAUUUUCUCUAUAGUACAUCUUCCCAUUGUAACAACUUAAAGCUUAGUAAUCUUUAGCUUGAGAGGAAGUGUUAGAAUCAAAUAAUUAAACCUAUAUAUUAUUAUUAGGAUUGUAAUCAUAGAUUAUUAUUUGAAUUGGCAAAUCAUAUAAAUUAGUAUUUAUUGUACAUGCUAUUAUGAAUAGUGGUGAGUGUGGUCUAAUUUCGAAUAUAUGGUUGUUCGGUAAUAAAAUUAUAGAAUUUUAUGAUGAAUAUCACUUCUAAAUUUCUAUCUUUUUUACCAUGCUUCAUUUUACCAUGCUUCAUACACAUGAAAAUUUCCUCUUUUUUAUUAUUGGUUUAGAAAAUGGAAACAUAAAGAGGUUUGUGCUUUUGUGGUUAUUUAUUACGUAAGGUUAAUUACAUAUAUUGAUUCAUUUAGUCACCUUACUUAGUAUGACAAGGGUUAUUUGUUGUUUAACGUUCAAUAGGUUGAUGUAUAGCUUGGGUGCCUUUGUGAAUGAUUAUCAUUUCACAUUCGUUGUUUAUUGCUACUGGUCUAAUUUUUGCUUCAAGAGCAGGUUUAAAAAGGCAAGUGUUAAGGGUCUCCAAAAUGAUGACAAAUCUCUACCGAAAGAAAGUACAUCAGAACAAAGUCAAUGUCCUUUACUUUUUAAAUUUAAUGAGGGUUUUACAAAUGCAGUCAAAAGGCCUGUUCGUAUUCGUGAAUUUCUGUCCUAGUAUUUCUUUCAAGUAAUGUUCUUUAUUUAUCAUGUUUGCAUUAGUAAUAUCCAUUUGACACCAAGACUCUUCUAGUAUAGUUAUUAAUUUUGUAGCAUGUUUUAGAGUAAAAGUUCUCAAUUAUCAUUUUCUUUGACAGAGUCCAAGUACCUACUUUAGUCCUGGUAUUUUCCUUGUAUUACAUUUAUGCUAUCGAAAAGAAAGGCUGUGUAGGGGAAGAUAUGUCAA